AUGAGUUAGGGUCUUCUAGGCCCGAUCUCCAACCCUUUGUAUAACUACCAUGUUGCUUUGGCGGGCCCGUCUUUAACCGGACCGCCGAGGGUUUUAAUUAAUCCUUGGCCAGUGCUCGUCAGUAGCCCACUUAAAUUCUUUUUAACCAUGUUAAAUCUGAAAAAUAGUUAAAAUAAACUA
Molecule: unclassified non-coding RNA, 180 nt
Filed under: uncultured Herpotrichiellaceae
Lineage: Eukaryota; Fungi; Ascomycota; Eurotiomycetes; Chaetothyriales; Herpotrichiellaceae
Description: sequence contains ITS1
Source: RNAcentral